Cygnus olor (mute swan) is the source of this 585-nucleotide long non-coding RNA. RefSeq lists it as uncharacterized. Lineage: Eukaryota; Metazoa; Chordata; Aves; Anseriformes; Anatidae. The transcript is spliced from 3 exons. The record is from RefSeq and is a predicted model, not a curated record.
CUGAGUAAGCAUACAUACUGUACAAACCACCACUGUGGAUAUAUUUCAUAUAGGCCCUCUUGUAAGGAUGUUAGAACAUAAUGGUUUUCCCAUUUCCAUUCAUCCAAAAUAUAUCAUUUAAAUGCAUUAAGUUUUCAUUUAUGUCUUAAUUGUUCAGUGUAAUGAAGAACUACUCUGGUUUCAAAUACACAUAGUUCUACCUAAACUAGGUUUAUGAUGAUUUAUAGGGCAGUACAACGUAUAGAAGCUAUCAUCAAAAGUAAGGAUGCUUCACAAAACUUAAUUUUCAAUUCUGCAACCUGAAAACACAAGUCUAGCAAGGAGAAUGUUUCCUAAUAUGAGUUAAAAGAGAAGUUCAUGUCAUGGAAGCUUAGCAACAAUGAGUACACAGCUCAUGAUAUUUAACUGUGACAUGAGGGAAAGCAGUCAUAUAUAAGUAAUACAUCAUCAGUAGCAGAUGAAGAGACUAUCAGUGGUAUCUAGCAUUAUAAAAAGAUUUUGUGGGCCACAGCUGGAGAAAGGGGAAAGGAGCCACGCUGUGUCAAAACAAGGCAACUUUUGAAGAAAAUUGCAGGAAACACAAAG